GCCUCCUUAGCUCAGCUGGUAGAGCACUCGCUUCGUAAGUGAUAGGUCGUAGGUUCAAGUCCUAUAGGAGGCU
Molecule: transfer RNA, 73 nt
Filed under: Arachidicoccus rhizosphaerae
Lineage: Bacteria; Pseudomonadati; Bacteroidota; Chitinophagia; Chitinophagales; Chitinophagaceae
Description: Flavisolibacter sp. Vu-144 tRNA
Rfam family: tRNA
About the family: Transfer RNA (tRNA) molecules are approximately 80 nucleotides in length. Their secondary structure includes four short double-helical elements and three loops (D, anti-codon, and T loops).
Source: Rfam by way of RNAcentral